AGUAGGGAAUAUUGGACAAUGGACGCAAGUCUGAUCCAGCCAUCCCGCGUGAAGGAUUAAGGCCCUAUGGGUUGUAAACUUCUUUUCUUUGGGAAUAAAAAGCGGUAUUCAUAUCGCCUUGAAGGUACCAGGGGAAUAAGCACCGGCUAACUCCGUGCCAGCAGCCGCGGUAAUACGGAGGGUGCAAGCGUUAUCCGGAUUCACUGGGUUUAAAGGGUGCGUAGGUGGUCUGUUAAGUCAGCGGUGAAAGCCUGGAGCUCAACUCCAGAAUUGCCAUUGAUACUGACGGACUUGAAUCAAGUUGAGGUGGAUGGAAUAUUACAUGUAGCGGUGAAAUGCUUAGAUAUGUAAUAGAACACCGAUUGCGAAGGCAGUUCACUAAGCUUGCAUUGACACUGAGGCACGAAAGCGUGGGGAUCAAA
Molecule: ribosomal RNA, 422 nt
Filed under: uncultured Chitinophagaceae bacterium
Lineage: Bacteria; Pseudomonadati; Bacteroidota; Chitinophagia; Chitinophagales; Chitinophagaceae
Description: bacterial SSU rRNA
Rfam family: Bacterial small subunit ribosomal RNA
Source: RNAcentral